AAGCUGCAACUACAACAACUACGCCAGCUGCAACCACCACAACAACAGCUGCUACUACAACUACAACAACUACUCCGGUUCCAACCACCACAACUCAAGCUGCAACUACAACUACUGCAGCUGCAACCACCACAACAACAGCUGCAACUACAACUACAACAACUACUCCGGUUCCAACCACCACAACUCCAGCUUCAACUACAACUACAACAACUACUCAGCCUGCAACCACCACAACUCCGGCUGCAAGUAACACAACUGGCUUGGUACAUAUACAGAUGGAGUUGACUUCCUUUGGAGAGAUCAGCAAUGGAACCAUCAUUGAACUUGUUAAACAGUUUUUUAGAGAACCGCUGCUGAAUGGAACAGCACACAAACUCACCGUGACAAAGAUUCAAAGGGUCGGAGUUGCAACCACAACUACAACUACUACCACAACACCACCAACAACCUAAACCACAUCCACAACGACAACACUUCCAAUGACCACUACAAGACCAGCAACUACCACACCCCCUAUCACAACAACACCACCACCAAGCACGACUACUACACCCCCAAGUACCACAACUAUGCCCCCAACUACCACAACACCAUCCCCAAUAACCACAUCAACAACUUCAACACCUUUGAGCACCACAAUAACAUCUCCAAUAACCACAAGUACACCAGCAACUACCACACCCCUUAGCACCACAACAACACCCCCAAGCACCACUACUGCACUUCCAACUACCACAACACCCUCAAACCAAGUAAUUUGACAUGUCAAAAAGGGUGCUCUGUAACUGGAGGAGCAGUUGCCAUGCUGACGAGCCUGGUAACCAGGGAACGAGUAAACUAUGUUUCUUACUCAAUCUUUUUCAUCAUGUACAUAUGAAGAAACGUUUCACGCAAAACACUGACAAUGAUAACCUCAGUGAGUGCCUGAUACGAAGUGAUGAUUGUACCGUAAAUCUGGAAAAUGAACAUGAAACUGUUUUGCCUUGUACCAUCAAGAAUUAAUUCAUUAGGCUUAUAGAAUUUAUCUUUCCAAUUCAUUGGAAACACCCACUUCGAUUGUUAUCAGACUAUUAAAUGGCCGUUAUCAGUUGUCAUUGGGAGCAUCUGGUAUGGCUCUACUCUACCUCCCAAUUGGCUCAGAAGGCCUUUAUCAUCUAUUGGUAAACUGGAUCACAGCAGGGAGGUACAAAAUUGUUAGGCUGUGACCUGUAGUGACCUUAGUAAUUAUGACGGGAGCAAAGGGGGAAGUCAGGUCAUGGUAUAAAGAGUGACAAUGUCUGCGUAGGGAGGAGAUCGGAAUGGAUGGGUGGGUCAAACAAACACAGGAUUCUCCCCAAAGAGAUCGCUGUUUCUGUCCCGUGUGAAACCAAAAGUCAACAUGUUAACUUAUUUUAACUUACAUACGUAAGUUAACUUAGGCUGCGUAACAAACUUGUGUGAUGUACAUAACGUAGCUUAUUUACGGAAAACUUACAUAAAACCUUAUUUUAAUCCAAAUCAUGAUCUUUUCCUAAGCCAAACAAACACAGGACUGUCACCCAGAAGACUGCUGUUUGUGUCCAGUGUGAAACCAAAGUCAACACGUUGACUUAUUUUCACUUAUGUGCAUAAGUUAACUUAUGUCACAUACUUAAAGGGAUAGUUCCGUGUUUUGAAGUGGGGUUGGAUAAGGUACUUAUCCAUAGUAGGUGUAUUAUUUACAGUAGAUGGCGAUUGGCGUGCCCUCAGAUUGGAGAGACAUACAGGAGUACUGACAUUGUAGCAAAGCAAUACAGCGCUGUGGAUGGGGAUGGCAGAAAAAAAAUAUUUUUGACACCUAAGAAAGGCUCACCUAAAAAAAAUCAAUAUCUGUUUAAGUGUACGCUAUAUUCAGAAUAUUUUCACCGCUUUAUCUUGACAUUAGUCAGCCCUUUCCUUCUCCUUUCCGAUGGAAAACAUAACUGAAAGUGAAACUUACCUAUGAUCUCUCCAAAGCGAGCAAGCUCAGAUGACAAAAACAGUAUAGAUACGUUUCAAAAUAUUCUAAAUAUAGCAUACACCUAAACGCAUAUCAGUUUUUUUAGGUGAGCCUUUCUUUUAGGUUGCUAAGAUAUAUUUUUCUGCCGUCCCCGUUCACAGCACUGUAUUUCUUUGCUCCGAUGUCGGUGCUCCUGUCUUUUUCUUGAUGGUGGGGGCACACCGACCGUCAUCUACUGUAAGUAAUACACCUACUGAGGAUAAAACACCCAAACGAUCCCUUUAAGUUUACAAUGUGCGGAAGCAUUAUAAUAGCAGUGGUAAUAACUGAUAACGGCCAUUUGAUGGGCAAACAUUCGAAUUGGGUGUGGAAAAGCAGAAGAAUCUGGGCUGAGCUAAGAACAAUGAGAUUGUGUACAAGAUGGGCAAGAGCCAUACUUUCUGAGGAUGAGCCAUACUUUCAUACAUGCUGAGGAUGUUCUAUCUAUCUGUCUGUGGUAGUUAGUACUAUUUUCUUGCUUUCGUGUGCUGGGGGUAAGUGCAGUCGACGCCAAUGGAAUCAAAAAGAUCAUCAAGAAGGCUGGCUCUGUCUGGCGGGUGGAGCUUGAUUUUUUUGUGGCGGUGUCAGAGAGAAGGAUGUAGCUCAAACUGCAGAGCAUCAUGGACAAUGACUCUCACCCUCUCCACGAUGUGCUGGCACAGGAGCACUUUCAGCAGUACACUGUUACCACCACGAUGCACCAAAGAACGCCACAAGAAAUCUUUUCAGCCUUUGCAAACAAACUUUACAACUCAUCUAACUUGUGUCGAGAGAUGGAUACAGCACUGUUCUGCUCUGCUCCUUUAAUCUCUCACUUUCUUCUCUCUGGAUUACUGUCUCUGUGAAUUACAAUCAUUAUAACUAUUAAUGUGAAAUAAUGGGACAAAACAUGCAAUAUCAUGGACAUAAUCGCUGAACAUUUUGAAUUAUAUAUACAUUUCCCUGUAUAGAUUUGAUAUUGUACAUACAUAACUUCAUGCCACUUCUCAUACAUAGCUACAUGCAACUCACAAUGAAGCAACUUGAGAAAUGCAUAAUGAUCUGUAUUGUUAACCAUGUUUAUAUUUUGGCGUUGUGUAUAGUUUGUAUUUUUGAUAUUUGUUUAUUGAUAAUUUUAUACUUGCAUAGAUAUGCAAGUAUAAAUUAGUAGUUUAUAUUGAACUAUUUCCUACUUUGUACUUUGAAAUGUUGCACAAGAAGAAUUAUAGUUCUAUCGUAUGAAAAGGCAGAGCAAGCAAAUCCUGCUUUUUGAGUUGCCCUAAUCAGAAAGCUUGUAUUUUUAUUUGGGGCUUAUACAUCUGUAUAAAUUGUUUGUCCAUU
Long non-coding RNA from Sebastes umbrosus (honeycomb rockfish), 3319 nucleotides. RefSeq lists it as uncharacterized. The record is from RefSeq and is a predicted model, not a curated record. Lineage: Eukaryota; Metazoa; Chordata; Actinopteri; Perciformes; Sebastidae. The transcript is spliced from 3 exons.